Molecule: ribosomal RNA, 460 nt
Filed under: uncultured bacterium
Lineage: Bacteria
Description: partial 16S ribosomal RNA
Rfam family: Bacterial small subunit ribosomal RNA
Source: RNAcentral
CCUACGGGUGGCAGCAGUGAGGAAUAUUGGUCAAUGGACGAGAGUCUGAACCAGCCAAGUAGCGUGAAGGAUGACUGUCCUAUGGGUUGUAAACUUCUUUUAUAUGGGAAUAAAACGUUCCACGUGUGGGAUUUUGUAUGUACCAUAUGAAUAAGGAUCGGCUAACUCCGUGCCAGCAGCCGCGGUAAUACGGAGGAUCCGAGCGUUAUCCGGAUUUAUUGGGUUUAAAGGGAGCGUAGGUGGAUUGUUAAGUCAGUUGUGAAAGUUUGCGGCUCAACCGUAAAAUUGCAGUUGAAACUGGCAGUCUUGAGUACAGUAGAGGUGGGCGGAAUUCGUGGUGUAGCGGUGAAAUGCUUAGAUAUCACGAAGAACUCCGAUUGCGAAGGCAGUUCACUGGACUACAACUGACACUGAGGCUCGAAAGUGUGGGUAUCAAACAGGAUUAGAUACCCGUGUAGUC